CCCGACAAUAGUAUACGCGCCCAUAAUGAACAGUCGUGUAAUCUGUUAUCUCCCCUUAUUUCGUUUACUUUUAAUAUUCAAUCAAAUAUCAAAUGAAGAAUUGUAUUUUCAAAGUUAUCUAUACGAAUAAGUUAAUUUCUUUUUUAUAUGUUAAGAAUAUUUUAUACAAAUCAUUUACCUAAAUUUUAUCUCAAACUUUGCCUCUUAUUUAUUUAAACUGUACCACGAUUUUACUUGUGAAUGUGAUUAAAAUUACUUUACUGGAAAACAUCUUUUAAUUCUUUAAACUCGUUUCUGCUAAUAUUUAUAAGAUAAACUAUUAAACAAAUUCAACAUUUUUACUAACCUUUAAAAGACAAUCCAGUCUGCUAACUACAUUUUAUUCUGGUUCACAGUCUAGUGAACCAAAUAGUUUUGCACGACUUUAUAUAGCAGACUGGACUUAAUUUGACACGUAAUAUUUGUUACUCAUUACAAUAGCUUUCUCUGAUCUCUUUUAAUAAACAAUGGAUUUUGUCGGUUAAAGGCAGAAUUACUUAAUCUUAAUUGUUCAAGUCUAUUAAUUUUAGAAGUAUAUACAAUUAUCUUUAUGC
This 593-nucleotide long non-coding RNA is filed under the name Mytilus galloprovincialis (Mediterranean mussel). Lineage: Eukaryota; Metazoa; Mollusca; Bivalvia; Mytilida; Mytilidae. The record is from RNAcentral.